UACGUAGGGAGCAAGCGUUGUCCGGAAUCAUUGGGCGUAAAGCGCGCGUAGGCGGCCUCGUAAGUCCGUUGUGAAAGUCAAAGGCUCAACCUUUGAAAGCCGAUGGAUACUGUGAGGCUAGAGUCCGGAAGAGGCGAGUGGAAUUCCUGGUGUAGCGGUGGAAUGCGCAGAUAUCAGGAGGAACACCAAUAGCGAAGGCAGCUCGCUGGGACGAUACUGACGCUAAGGCGCGAAAGCCAGGGGAGCGAACGGG
This 253-nucleotide ribosomal RNA is filed under the name uncultured bacterium. Its description in RNAcentral is "partial 16S ribosomal RNA". It matches the Rfam family "Bacterial small subunit ribosomal RNA", at positions 524 to 776 of the family's 1533-position model. The record is from RNAcentral.